AGACGCAUUUUUUGGGGUACUAUUCCGCAUUAAAAGUCAGGAACGUGUUCUAUUUUGCCUAUUGUAUGUAUGAAUGAUGGAAAGACCAAACGGUUUUGUUUUGCAAAUUCCAUACGGGAAGGGAAAGAACAAACUAUAUAAAAGGAUUAACCUGUGAUGUACUACUACUUUUCAGUACUAUGUACUCAUGAAAUACACUCCAAGGAAACAAGCGCCUACAAGUUGUCCCUCUAAAAUUAAGGUAUGUGGCAUGCAAGCAGAGGAGAGGAUGAACUUGAGAAUUACCAAUUCGGCCUCAUAUUUGAUCUGAUAAGAUGCAAAAAAUAAAUGGAUGAUUAUAUGGGUGUGUGAAGAUCAUGAUGCUCCUGUCCAUGAUGAUGAUGAUGAUGAUGAUGAUGAUGGAUGCUUUUAUUGUUCGUUAAGUUGUAGGGAUGUUCAUUUUGGGUGAUGGGUGAUGUUCCUCAGUUAAGUUUUAGAUAAGUUGUAGGGAUGUUGAUGGAUACUUUCGGUUGAACUUUCGAUGUGUCGAAAAUAUUUAGAUUAUGCAUCAGAUUGGGAU
Molecule: long non-coding RNA, 559 nt
Organism: Triticum dicoccoides
Lineage: Eukaryota; Viridiplantae; Streptophyta; Magnoliopsida; Poales; Poaceae
Exons: 3
Source: RefSeq, a predicted model, not a curated record